RNAcentral lists this long non-coding RNA (870 nucleotides) under Meleagris gallopavo (turkey). RNAcentral's name for it is "lncRNA (ENSMGAG00000018302.1)". The record is from RNAcentral. Lineage: Eukaryota; Metazoa; Chordata; Aves; Galliformes; Phasianidae.
GGUGAGGGCAGGGUUUGCAAUGGGUCACAAUGGGCUCUCCACUCAUCUAUCCCCAUAGGACAUCCAGCCCCUACUGCCCCCAAAACAAAGUCCGUCUGAUAGUGCAGGCAGUUAUAGUGGAUACCAGCAUUCUUACAACAUGAGCCCAGAGAGUUCAAACAGUUUCCAAGAAGCCUCACAACCAUUUUGAUAUCCUCACCUCUGGAUAAGACAAGAAUACUUUGUGGUGGAAAAGAGCUCUCCCUUCAUAGGAAUGAUUGCUACUGGAGGAGAAUCGUGAGAAGAACAUGGCGAGGUAGGGCAAUCCCAGCAGAACAAGAGCACAAGUGUGUAACAUUGAAAGCUUAUCAGGAGCAUCAAGUCUGACUGUGAAGGUUGUUAGCUAUUCCCAAUUGUCAGAAACACUCAAAAAGCAAGAGCAUACUAUGCUUUGUCAUUUUUCUUCAGGGAUUUUGCAUAGAGCUAUGUUCAUUGGGAAUAACCCUCUGCAAUAAUACAAUUAAAUUUCUUGGUUCCAUUAAAGCCAACUGAUCAAUAUUAGUGCAAUUUGAUAAUCUGAGACAUCACACCGACAGGAUGAUAUGUGUUUAGCAGACAGAUUCUUUGUUGUAUCUAUAAUCCCCCCUAGAAUUCAGAGAUUGGAGUGUGCUUUUUAUCAGUGAACAAAGAUUGUCUUACAGGCUAGUCUUUCACUACCAGCACGGAGAGAAGUAUGUCUGUGGGUUCGUAUAUCAAAGGCAUUAGAGACAAUCCACAGGACAGGGUAAUCCCAUAUUGUGGAAACAUUAACCUUUCAAUUCAGAAGAAAGCAGAAAUAUCUUCCCUCUAGAAAACUGAAAGAAAUUAUCAUACGGACUGCAGAAAGUUGUU